Molecule: ribosomal RNA, 94 nt
Filed under: Pseudomonas sp. MWU12-2323
Lineage: Bacteria; Pseudomonadati; Pseudomonadota; Gammaproteobacteria; Pseudomonadales; Pseudomonadaceae
Source: RNAcentral
UCUGGUGGCCUUAGCGAGAUGGUCCCACGCCUUCCCAUCCCGAACAGGACCGUGAAACACCUUAGCGCCGAUGAUAGUGUGGCAUUCGCCAUGU